GUGGGGAAUUUUGGACAAUGGGCGCAAGCCUGAUCCAGCAAUGCCGCGUGCAGGAAGAAGGCCUUCGGGUUGUAAACUGCUUUUGUACGGAACGAAACGGUCCUGGUUAAUACCUGGGGCUAAUGACGGUACCGUAAGAAUAAGCACCGGCUAACUACGUGCCAGCAGCCGCGGUAAUACGUAGGGUGCGAGCGUUAAUCGGAAUUACUGGGCGUAAAGCGUGCGCAGGCGGUGCUGUAAGACAGGCGUGAAAUCCCCGGGCUCAACCUGGGAAUUGCGCUUGUGACUGCAGUGCUGGAGUACGGCAGAGGGGGAUGGAAUUCCGCGUGUAGCAGUGAAAUGCGUAGAUAUGCGGAGGAACACCGAUGGCGAAGGCAAUCCCCUGGGCCUGCACUGACGCUCAUGCACGAAAGCGUGGGGAGCGAACAGGAUUAGAUACCCGUGUAGUC
This 449-nucleotide ribosomal RNA is filed under the name uncultured bacterium. Its description in RNAcentral is "partial 16S ribosomal RNA". It matches the Rfam family "Bacterial small subunit ribosomal RNA", at positions 354 to 795 of the family's 1533-position model. The record is from RNAcentral.